Molecule: unclassified non-coding RNA, 2579 nt
Filed under: Hevea brasiliensis (rubber tree)
Lineage: Eukaryota; Viridiplantae; Streptophyta; Magnoliopsida; Malpighiales; Euphorbiaceae
Source: RNAcentral
UUCACGUCCAAAUUGCACCGGAAAUCUCUCAUUCUCCUCAAUCAAAUGUGAUAGAAUAGUACCAUCAGGGAGUUCCACAUAGAAGAAACUAUAGUUCCUAUCAAACUGUGCCCUCAACCAUUUUCUGCUAUCAGAACUAUUAUCGACUGCAAGAGAAACAACAGUAUGAAAAUACAUUGGAAACCAUGGAAGUUCAACUGUUUUUACAAGUUUAGGCUUAAGCAAAACACCAGUUAAAAAAUCCCUUAAAUAUAUUCAAGUUCUUGCUAUUGAGACAUCCAAUUAAAAGUGUGCUCUAUUAAAUCCUGUAUUGAGUACUAACUUAAUUGUACAAAUAUAAUAUUGGCUAAUUCACCAAAACUUUUAUGUUUUUGAGUCCUUCAAUACUUAUUUUUAAAGCUUGCAUAUAUAUAAUUAAAUGCAUUUGGUUAUACAAAAUGUAAAUAGCAUCUGUUUAUGGCCUCAAUAUAAGAAUAUUUUACAAUAUGAUAUUAGAUUUUAAGGUUUUUUUUUUAAGGACAAACUCCACUAUUGUGAACUUGCCUUUUGUUUAUAUUUAGGAAAAUUAUACUUUUUUUGAUGCCAAAUUGGUAUUUAGUAGCACCUAAAUUGAAAAGUUAAGGGCUAAAACAGAACUUCAAUUGGAUGGUUUAAAAACAAAAACAUUAAAAAGUUAAAGGGCUCUUAAUUCACUUUCUCAAAAAAUUAUGGUAAAAAAAGCUGUCUUCAAGAUGGCUGAGAUGAAAUUAAAAAAAUACUUUUGAGAAGGUAACAUGCUGAUGAUUCGGAAGGUAUUCCAAACACACAAAACAUAAAAUAAAGUAGAAACUUCACCAAGGAAUUACGAGACAUAGGGCUUGCAUUGUACUUUGAACUUUAAACUUAAAGGUAAAAAUUAGGCCAAGAACUGAGCAUAGUAAUUAUUAACAACCUUGAGUAAUUUCAACUUACAUUUCAUGGCCACAAAUUUAAAACCCAGUUUAUCAGCAGCCAUAUUAAAUAUAUCCUGAACAGCAGCCACUCUAGAUGAUGGAACAGGAGCAGCCUGAAGAUUAGCAUGAGUACCACGCUUGGAAACCCACUCAAAUAUGAUAGCUUCCUUUCCCCCGUUCUUAAAAUAUAAUUUUAGAUUAUUCUUGAAUCUAACAAGUUCAGAUUCACAUUCUUGCGGUAAAGAAAGGGUACUAGGUGAGUGCUCAAUGGGUAUUAAUAGGACAUGGUCUUGAACAAGGGGACCUUUGGCCAGGGCACAGUAGUAACUUUCUCCUAUGCUAAUGAUCAGAUGUGACUCCACGCUGGGGCUUGACAAACAAAACCAGCACUCUUUUGACCUGUUAGCAUUUUCAGAGCCAUGUCUCCUGUGAGAAUAGCUCUCAACUUUGCUCUGCAAAUCGUGCUUAAAGUUGCAGUCUGGACCUCUUUCGCAUUUUCCUUUGAUAAGAAAAUCAAUACAAACACCUCUUAAAUAUUGUUCCCUUGCAUCCAUGUCAUGCUGAAAGUGGCAUUUUUCCCCUCGUGGACAAGAACCAGAAUAAAUAAAUUUAAAACACAGUUUAUCACCAUCUCUAGCUCCAGCUUUCUGACGUUUUUGGGAGACAUCAUAUCUCCAAUAUUGAGAAUCAGACACACUGUCACUAGGCCUCUUGGUGGUUUCUUUAGGAUGAACUGUUUGCUCUGAAAAGGUGUAUGGGGAUGAAGUAGUGUUAGAGGGCUUCAUGCUAAUCUCCACAGCAGUCAUUGUAGAUCCUGGAGUAGGAGAAAUUGCAUGGAUAAAUUUCUGUUUAUCCUUAUUUCCAACUGAUGCAAGACCAAAGAAGCGGGUAACAUGCACAGCAUCAAUGUUAGAGUAAGGUUCACGAGCAUAAAAUAGACCUUUAGCACCUGCAAUGUGAUAGCGUGGUUUGAUCUCUGCUACUAACUCAGAUAUAGUAGAAUCACUACCAGCUGAAUCUGAAAUUCCUGCAGGAAUAUCGGAUGUAGCUCUGUUUGUGACGCCAGUAGGCCACUCAUUAGUUAGAAACAAGUCAACUAUUCCAGGUUCGUCAGCCAAUGCUCGCAGUGCAUCAACAUCAUCCUGACUGUAUGUUCCAAAUUGUUGACUGUCCGAUGACCGCCUACCCGAUAGGUAUGCAACAGAUAAACUGUAGAGAGUGAAUUUGCCGCUGCCUCUGAGCCAAAAGAGAUUCUCACAAAUUUUCAAACCGUCCAUUUUGAACCCCAAGUUGGAGGAGUUUUUGGACGCAACAGAUAGCACUUUAGGGGCACCAACACCAUAGUCGCCGAUGAAGUAGGUAGGGAGGGGAAUCUGAGUGCGGCCUUCCACGUAGUCCAUGAACUCCUCCAGCAGCUCAGGCGAGCCCGGGAAGAAUUGGCCCACGCAGAAAAGCGCAUCGAAUGGUCCCGCCGACUUGUUUACCGAUUGGACACGCUUGUAGAGGUGAUUGAGGCGGCCUAAAACGUCACCGCAGAGAAGGAUUCUCGGUGGAGCCAUGGACGCCGAGGGUAAGAAAAGGAGAGUGUGGCAGCGAAAGAGGAAAAAGCGAGGUGCGUAUUAUUAUUUCUGCUGAUAUGCAAGGAGG